UAAACGACUCUCGGCAACGGAUAUCUCGACUCUCACAUGGAUGAAAAACGUAGCGAAAUGCGAUACUUGGUGUGAAUUGCAGAAUCCCGUGAACCAUCGAGUCUUUGAACGCAAGUUGCGCCCGAAGCCAUCCGGCCGAGGGCACGUCUGCCUGGGCGUCACGCAUCGCGUCGC
RNAcentral lists this ribosomal RNA (174 nucleotides) under Chelonopsis lichiangensis. RNAcentral's name for it is "5.8S ribosomal RNA". The stretch from base 6 to 161 matches the Rfam family "5.8S ribosomal RNA". Rfam says of the family: 5.8S ribosomal RNA (5.8S rRNA) is a component of the large subunit of the eukaryotic ribosome. It is transcribed by RNA polymerase I as part of the 45S precursor that also contains 18S and 28S rRNA. Lineage: Eukaryota; Viridiplantae; Streptophyta; Magnoliopsida; Lamiales; Lamiaceae. The record is from RNAcentral.